CGGGGCGUAGCGCAGUUUGGUAGCGCACACGGCUGGGGGCCGUGUGGUCGCAGGUUCAAAUCCUGUCGCCCCGA
Molecule: transfer RNA, 74 nt
Filed under: Actinomycetota bacterium
Lineage: Bacteria; Bacillati; Actinomycetota
Also listed under: 2 other names
Description: tRNA-Pro
Rfam family: tRNA
About the family: Transfer RNA (tRNA) molecules are approximately 80 nucleotides in length. Their secondary structure includes four short double-helical elements and three loops (D, anti-codon, and T loops).
Source: RNAcentral